GCUGGCUUCUUUGGAGGCAUUGUGCACACUUGGCUCCAUUUUUAUUACCACCUGUGCACUUUUUGUAGAUUCUCUUUGGGAGGAAAUUUAUCGAGGAAAACUCGGUUUGAGGAAUUGCUGCUAGUCAGCUGUCCUUGUUGGUAUCCUACCAAAAAGAUCUAUGUUUUUAUAUACCCCUAAAGUAUGUUUUAGAAUGUCAUUAAUUUGUAGGGCUUCAUUGCCUUUAAAUUUAAAUACAACUUUCAACAACGGAUCUCUUGGCUCUCGCAUCGAUGAAGAACGCAGCGAAAUGCGAUAAGUAAUGUGAAUUGCAGAAUUCAGUGAAUCAUCGAAUCUUUGAACGCACCUUGCGCUCCUUGGUAUUCCGAGGAGCAUGCCUGUUUGAGUAUCAUUUAAUUCUCAACCUUUUUCAGCUUUUU
RNAcentral lists this unclassified non-coding RNA (419 nucleotides) under Singerocybe alboinfundibuliformis. RNAcentral's name for it is "sequence contains 18S rRNA gene, ITS1, 5.8S rRNA gene, ITS2, 28S rRNA gene". The stretch from base 238 to 391 matches the Rfam family "5.8S ribosomal RNA". The record is from RNAcentral. Lineage: Eukaryota; Fungi; Basidiomycota; Agaricomycetes; Agaricales; Clitocybaceae.